UGCAUAUCGCAGCGACAGCAGGAAAAGACCCCGUCUGACCUUCCCUCCCUCAAACACGGCCAAUUGUGUUUGUUUGGACUUCCAGCCAGGAUGAAAUGCCAGCAUUGUGUUGACAGAGGAAGAUGAGUAGCCGUGCUGCUCUGUAGGUGGACAGUGCUGGAGGAAUGAGUAGUGUAUUUCAGAGCUGUAGAUCAGAGAUGGAGCAUGCAUCAAUGAAGGCCUGAGCUAUGACAGACAGACACGCGUCCAUGUGAUCUGUCUUAUCGAUGUC
Long non-coding RNA from Trichomycterus rosablanca, 271 nucleotides. RefSeq lists it as uncharacterized. NCBI's taxonomy places the organism in Eukaryota, Metazoa, Chordata, Actinopteri, Siluriformes, Trichomycteridae. The record is from RefSeq and is a predicted model, not a curated record. The transcript has 3 exons.